RNAcentral lists this ribosomal RNA (419 nucleotides) under bacterium. Its description in RNAcentral is "partial 16S ribosomal RNA". It matches the Rfam family "Bacterial small subunit ribosomal RNA", at positions 355 to 776 of the family's 1533-position model. The record is from RNAcentral.
UGGGGGAUAUUGCACAAUGGGCGAAAGCCUGAUGCAGCGACGCCGCGUGGGGGAUGAAGGCCUUCGGGUUGUAAACUUCUUUUGCUCUGAACAAGGCGCACCAUGGGGUGUGUUGAGUGUAGGGGUUGAUUAGCGCCGGCUAACUACGUGCCAGCAGCCGCGGUAAUACGUAGGGCGCGAGCGUUGUCCGGAAUUAUUGGGCGUAAAGGGCUUGUAGGUGGCUGGUUGCGUCUGUCGUGAAAGCUCAUGGCUUAACUGUGGGUUUGCGGUGGGUACGGGCUGGCUUGAGUGCAGUAGGGGAGGCUGGAAUUCCUGGUGUAGCGGUGGAAUGCGCAGAUAUCAGGAGAAAUACCGGUGGCGAAGGCGGGUCUCUGGGCUGUUACUGACACUGAGGAGCGAAAGCAUGGGGAGCGAACAGG